AAAACAACCUUAAUUAGCAGAUGAAACAUGAAUAAUAUUAGAUCAGAUAGACAGAAGCUCCCCCUGAGAUAGUGCUAGGGAGUUCAGAAGUUCUUACCAGAGUUUCUUAAGUAAAGAGGUUUCUUGAUACCUUCUGCAAUUUCUUAAGUCCAGGUUAGAUAAAUUUAUUUUUAAGAAAAAUAUGUUGCAGAAUGCUUAAGGUAUUAGACAAUAUUUUCAUCAGAGCUAUUAAUGACUUCUCCCCCUUUUUGUCAGAAUCAAAAAGACAUAGUAAAAAAAAAAUAAGUAAAGAGAAAAACUUGUAUUCA
Molecule: long non-coding RNA, 308 nt
Filed under: Lathyrus oleraceus (garden pea)
Lineage: Eukaryota; Viridiplantae; Streptophyta; Magnoliopsida; Fabales; Fabaceae
Description: Pisum sativum (pea) long non-coding RNA (PSAT_LNC035315)
Source: RNAcentral